This is a non-coding RNA of Pelobates cultripes (western spadefoot toad), 2379 nucleotides long. Lineage: Eukaryota; Metazoa; Chordata; Amphibia; Anura; Pelobatidae. The record is from the annotation of a GenBank genome assembly.
UGAUCGUUUGUCCUCUUUCAGGAGAAGAACAAAAGGUCUUAUGACAUCUAAAAGAGCUUUGGCAAGGUGGAUUAAAGAAGGCAUGUUAUUGGCAUACAGUUCCUUCAAUGUUCCUCCCCCUGUGCUAUUAAAAGCCCAAUCGUAGUGCACUGCCUCUAAUCUGGAGGGAAAGUUAACAUUUUACUUACUGUAUAUUUGUUUUUCCUUCUGAUUAGAGGCAGUGCACAUAUUCCCCAUCCUAUUUAAUAAAGUGUAUCUUGCAGUUAUUUUGGCUUGUGUAUUUACUGGGGAUGUAAGGCAAAAAGGGUUAUGUACCUAGGGAAGGAGCAGCUAGUGGUGGGAGCCAAUUAUCUUUUUAUUUUUAGGUAUGUCUGCCUUCCCUCCAGAUUAGAGAAUGCCUCGAAUCCUAAGGAAAAAGGCAUUUAUGGUAAGUAAUUUGAACUAUAAAAUGGUGCCAAUGCUAUUGGUUUACUUUUUGGUACACCAACUUUCUAAAGCUACAUGAUUGGCAAAUCCGUAAGGAUAUGUAGGUUUUCCACUCUCCAUGAUUAGGGAACAGCCAUAAUAGCAUUGCAGGACUCCAUAUAGUUGGUGUAAAAGUUUACUAAGUGCAUUUAUAUUCCUUUAGUCUUGUGUAUAUUUUAUGGGGAUUGCUGUACUUUUUCCAUACACUUUAUUUCAAUGGAGAUUGACUGAGGUGUCUUUAUGGUACGUGGGAUACACAAAACAUUAGAAUAUCGUGCAAAAGUUAAUUUAUGCUACAUAAAAGGGGAAACUGAUAUGAGAAACACAGUACGUGCAAAGCAAGAUCGUUCAAGCCGUGAUUUUGCCAUAAGUGCGAUGAUUAUGGCCUACAGCUCAUGAAAACUCCAAAUCCACAAUCUCAGUAAAUUAGAAUAUUACAUGCAAUCAAUAAAACAAGGAGUGUACAUAGAACAAUAUUGGACCUCUGAAAAGUAUAAGCAUGCAUAUGGACUCAGUACUUGGUUUGAGCCCCUUUUGCAGCAAUUACUGCCUCAAUGCGGCGUGGCAUGGAAGCUAUCAGCCUGUGGCACUGCUGAGGUGUUACAGAAGACCAGGAUGCUUCAAUAGCGGCCUUCAGCUCUUCUGCAUUGUUCGGUCUCAUGUCUCUCAUCUUUCUCUUGGCAAUGUCCCAUAGAUUCUCUAUGGGGUUCAGGUCAGGCGAGUUUGCUGGCCAAUCAAGCACAGUAAUCCCACGGUCAUUGAACCAGGCUUUUGGCAGUGUGGGCAGGUGCCAAGUCCUGCUGGAAAGUGAAGUCAGCAUCCCCAUAAAGCUUGUCUGCGGAAGGAAGCAUGAAGUGCUCCAGAAUCUCCUGGUAGAAAGCUGCGUGGACCCUGGACUUAAUGAACACCAGCUGAUGACAUGGCUCCCCAAAUCAACACAGACGGUGGAAACUUCACACUGGACUUCAAGCAUCUUGCAGUGUGUGCCUCUCCAUUCUUCCUCCAUUCUUUCCAAAUGAGAUGCAAAAGUUGCUCUCAUCAGAAAAGAGGACUUUGGACCACUGAGCAACAGACCAGGUCUGUUUUUCUUUAGCCCAGGUAAGACGCUUCUGACGUUUGCUGUUCAGGAGCGGCUUGACAAGAGGAAUACGACAUCUGAAGCCCAUGUCCAGGAUCCGUCUGUGUGUGGUGGCUCUUGAUGCACUGACUCUAGCCUCAGUCCACUACUUGUGAAAGUCCCCAACACUUUUGAAUGGCCUUUUCCUGACAAUCCUCUCCAGGCUGCGGUCAUCCCUGCUGCUUGUGCACCUUUUUCUUCCACACAACUUUCUAUUAAUGUGCUUUGUUACAGCACUUUGGGAACAUCCAACUUCCUUUGCAAUUACCUUUUGAGGUUUAAACAGCAAAAGAAUUGGAAAUAAAGUUGUAGUAACAAAAACCUACCAGUAGGUGUCACCAGAGGUUAGGAAAAAAUAUCGAAAUUGAGUCUUAAUGUCUAUUAAUAAAACUUAACUUUUAAUAUGUUAAUGCAUAAAAUAAAACAAGUGUGACAAGCAAUAUUAAAAUAGGGUCAGUAGUCCCAAAUCUGUCUGUAAGAUACCCGUACAGAUCCUAUUUACAAAGUGGAUAGAAUAGUUUAUUUAGCCAAUAUCAAUCAAAAUUGCUAAAGGAGAUAAUCAGUCCUGAGGUGCCUCCUUUAGUUAUAUGAAGCAGUUCCAAUUAUUACAGAGUUUAAUUUAGGAUGCAAUCCUCAUUGUUUUAUUUAGCAGUUACACAGCAGCAGAUAGACUUUUCUCUGUGCUGUUAAUAAAGAUCCAUUUCUCAGUCUUUGAUUUAUAAAGUAUCUGUCAGGUUGGUUCUAAAUAGACCUGAAUCUCUUCCAUAGAAUAGUGCAGACAGAUCAGAAAAAUGUAU